RNAcentral lists this ribosomal RNA (802 nucleotides) under uncultured bacterium. Its description in RNAcentral is "bacterial SSU rRNA". It matches the Rfam family "Bacterial small subunit ribosomal RNA", at positions 546 to 1348 of the family's 1533-position model. The record is from RNAcentral.
CGGAAUUACUGGGCGUAAAGAGCUCGUAGGCGGUUUGUCACGUCGUCUGUGAAAUCCCUCGGCUUAACCGGGGGCGUGCAGGCGAUACGGGCAGACUUGAGUACUACAGGGGAGACUGGAAUUCCUGGUGUAGCGGUGAAAUGCGCAGAUAUCAGGAGGAACACCGGUGGCGAAGGCGGGUCUCUGGGUAGUAACUGACGCUGAGGAGCGAAAGCAUGGGUAGCGAACAGGAUUAGAUACCCUGGUAGUCCAUGCCGUAAACGGUGGGCGCUAGGUGUGGGGUCCUUCCACGGACUCCGUGCCGUAGCUAACGCAUUAAGCGCCCCGCCUGGGGAGUACGGCCGCAAGGCUAAAACUCAAAGGAAUUGACGGGGGCCCGCACAAGCGGCGGAGCAUGUGGAUUAAUUCGAUGCAACGCGAAGAACCUUACCUAGGCUUGACAUAUACAGGACGACGGCAGAGAUGUCGUUUCCCUUGUGGCUUGUAUACAGGUGGUGCAUGGUUGUCGUCAGCUCGUGUCGUGAGAUGUUGGGUUAAGUCCCGCAACGAGCGCAAACCCUGUCUCAUGUUGCCAGCACGUAAUGGUGGGGACUCGUGAGAGACUGCCGGGGUCAACUCGGAGGAAGGUGGGGAUGACGUCAAAUCAUCAUGCCCCUUAUGUCUAGGGCUUCACACAUGCUACAAUGGCUAGUACAGAGGGCUGCGAUACCGCGAGGUGGAGCGAAUCCCUUAAAGCUGGUCUCAGUUCGGAUUGGGGUCUGCAACUCGACCACAUGAAGUCGGAGUCGCUAGUAAUCGCAGA